AACGUAGGAGGCGAGCGUUAUCCGGAUUUACUGGGCGUAAAGCGCGUGCAGGCGGUUCGGCAAGUUGGAUGUGAAAGCUCCUGGCUCAACUAGGAGAGGUCGUUCAAUACUACCGAACUUGAGGGCAUCAGAGGAAGGUGGAAUUCCCGGUGUAGUGGUGAAAUGCGUAGAUAUCGGGAGGAACACCAGUGGCGAAGGCGACCUUCUGGGAUGUUCCUGACGCUCAGACGCGAAGGCUAGGGUAGCAAACGGGAUUAGAGACCCCGGUAGUCCUAGCAGUAAACGAUGUAGACUUGGUGUCGGUGGGUUAAAAACCAUCGGUAUCGAAGCUAACGCGAUAAGUCUACCGCCUGGGGACUACGGCCGCAAGGUUAAA
RNAcentral lists this ribosomal RNA (376 nucleotides) under uncultured bacterium. RNAcentral's name for it is "bacterial SSU rRNA". It matches the Rfam family "Bacterial small subunit ribosomal RNA", at positions 524 to 898 of the family's 1533-position model. The record is from RNAcentral.